UACAGAGGUCUCAAGCGUUGUUCGGAUUCAUUGGGCGUAAAGGGUGCGUAGGUGGCGGGGUAAGUCUGGUGUGAAAUCUCGGGGCUCAACCCCGAAACUGCACUGGAUACUGCCUUGCUCGAGUACUGGAGAGGAGAUUGGAAUUUACGGUGUAGCAGUGAAAUGCGUAGAUAUCAGGAGGAACACCGGUGGCGAAGGCGGGUCUCUGGGCCGAUACUGACGCUGAGGAGCGAAAGCGUGGGGAGCGAACAGG
This 253-nucleotide ribosomal RNA is filed under the name uncultured bacterium. Its description in RNAcentral is "partial 16S ribosomal RNA". It matches the Rfam family "Bacterial small subunit ribosomal RNA", at positions 524 to 776 of the family's 1533-position model. The record is from RNAcentral.